AUUGAACGCUGGCGGCAGGCUUAACACAUGCAAGUCGAGCGGGGUGAUGGUGCUUGCACUAUCACUUAGCGGCGGACGGGUGAGUAAUGCUUAGGAAUCUACCUAUUAGUGGGGGACAACAUCUCGAAAGGGAUGCUAAUACCGCAUACGUCCUACGGGAGAAAGCAGGGGAUCACUUGUGACCUUGCGCUAAUAGAUGAGCCUAAGUCGAAUUAGCUAGUUGGUGGGGUAAAGGCCUACCAAGGCGACGAUCUGUAGCGGGUCUGAGAGGAUGAUCCGCCACACUGAGACGGAGACACGGGCCAGACUCCUACGGGAGGCAGCAGUGGGGAAUAUUGGACAAUGGGGGGAACCCUGAUCCAGCCAUGCCGCGUGUGUGAAGAAGGACUUAUGGUUGUAAAGCACUUUAAGCGAGGAGGAGGCUCUUUUGGUUAAUACCCAAGAUGAGUGGACGUUACUCGCAGAAUAAGCACCGGCUAACUCUGUGCCAGCCGCCGCCGUAA
Molecule: ribosomal RNA, 503 nt
Filed under: uncultured bacterium
Lineage: Bacteria
Description: partial 16S ribosomal RNA
Rfam family: Bacterial small subunit ribosomal RNA
Source: RNAcentral